GGGAAGACUUCCACAGAGGAGGUGGCAAGCCGGAACAAGGCACACAAAUGCCAGCUGAGUGGAAGGUCAACCAGUCCAACUUCUCAUGUUUCAGAAGAGGAAAGCAAGGUCUGGAGAGGGAACGUGGCUUGCCCAAGAUAUGUUUCAAACUUUGAUGAAAAGCAGGGAAGUUUGGGAAGAAAAUCCAAGACUUCUCUGGAGAGAGACCAGGAAACAGGCUCAGAGAGAAGAAGGGAAUUAUGUACCUCGGUUUAGAGCCAAAGUGUCCUGCCUGCAUUCCAGCUGUUUCCAUCCAUGUCCAUGUCAACUGGCAUCUGGAACUACUCGUAGCAGCAUCCACUCAAUUCACCAGGGUGGAAUCGAUAAAUG
This 369-nucleotide long non-coding RNA is filed under the name Homo sapiens (human). RNAcentral describes it as "non-protein coding lnc-HES1-2:4". Lineage: Eukaryota; Metazoa; Chordata; Mammalia; Primates; Hominidae. The record is from RNAcentral.